GCCGCGAAGGGCGGGGCCGAGGAGAGAACUAGGACAGGGAGACGUCGACGUCGUCCCGCUUUUCAGGCGAGCCGGAAUGCUCCCAAAUUGGAGUAUCUGUAGGUUUAUACCUCCUCUGUGCUCCCUGAGCAGCACUCUCCCCCUCCAACCUGUCUCAGGUUCCCCACAAAAAGUGUGUUUGGGAGACGUGUGGCCCUUUGGACGGAGGCCUGUGAGGGUCUUCCCCGUCCUUCCUGUGUUUCUGACAUAGCUGCCAGUGUCAAAGAGGGCCAAGUCUUGCCAGAGAGGGAGAAGGGCAGGGGAGCCCUCGGAAACCCAUCAGAAAGGCUGCUGCAUCCCAGUCUCCACAAGGGCGCAGCAAAGACUCGACCUGUUUAUACUCUGUGUGCCUUCAAGACACCUGUCAGUGAAUGGCAAUCCCAUUCAAUUCAGUUUUCUCGGACAAAGCAACAUUGGGUGGUUUUGUGAGUGGCCGCCCAUCCAGGAGCAACUUGACGCUUCUGGUGUGAGAGAAUUGGCCGUCGGCAACGACAUUGCCCAGGGGACACCUGGAUGUUUUGAUAUUUUACCAUCCUUGUGGAGGCUUCCCUCAUGUCCCUGCAUGGGGAGCCGGAGCUGACAGAGGGAGCUCAUCCACACUCUCCCCGGAUUCAAACCUGCAAUUCGUCAGUCUUCAGUCCUGCCAGCACAAGGGUUUUAACCCAUUGCACCACUGGGGGUUCCUAUCAGCAUGCUGAAGAUAGUUGAAAGAAAGGAUCACAGCAUCAUAUUUCCUUAGAUUGUGCCAACAAAUCAAUAUCAUACAAGAUUUAUUCUGUAGUAAGGAAUUACAUAACAAUAUAUAACAUGAGGUAUACAUUCCCUGGAAAUAUUACAGUCAUGUGGUUUGGGGAGGUCCCACUCACAGACUGCCAAUAAUAAAUAUGUAUCUCUGUUAAUGUAGUAGGAGUGUUCUUGAGUAUUCCUUCUUUAACAGAAAUUUUGGUACCAGAAGCAGAAGUAACAUGGAAAGAAUAGAGAGACGUUCCUAUGUAACGAAAACAAGAUCAGCAUGGACAUGUUUCAGCAGACUUUUUAUUGUGAACUAAAGAUAUGCAUAUUUGAAAUAAGAAACCAGGUCAAGCAAGCAUUGCAUGACUACAGCCAGCCCUCAACAUUCACAGGUUCUACUCCCACUGAUUGAACCAACUGGCUUGAAAAUACUUGGAGGGAGGGGGGAACCCCGAAACAACCUUGAUUAUGUCUUGUGCCUAGCACUAUCAAUGUAUAGACAUGCUUUACAAUAGUCUCUCACCAUUUCACAGAUCCUUAAACUUUCUCUGACCCUUGUUUUAGCUGUUUCUAAGUACAUGCAAACUGUCUGUUUAAUUAUUUCUUCUAGAAUAUUUCUUGAUACUGAUGUCAGGCUAACUAGGCAUUAAUUAUUUGGGUCUUCUUUUUAAAUUUUUAAUAAUAAAUAAAUAAAAACUUUAUUUAUAUCCUG
Molecule: long non-coding RNA, 1483 nt
Organism: Anolis sagrei ordinatus
Lineage: Eukaryota; Metazoa; Chordata; Lepidosauria; Squamata; Anolidae
Source: RefSeq, a predicted model, not a curated record